This 497-nucleotide ribosomal RNA is filed under the name uncultured bacterium. Its description in RNAcentral is "partial 16S ribosomal RNA". It matches the Rfam family "Bacterial small subunit ribosomal RNA", at positions 28 to 507 of the family's 1533-position model. The record is from RNAcentral.
GAUGAACGCUGGCGGCGUGCCUAAUACAUGCAAGUCGAGCGAACAGACGAGGAGCUUGCUCCUCUGACGUUAGCGGCGGACGGGUGAGUAACACGUGGAUAACCUACCUAUAAGACUGGGAUAACUUCGGGAAACCGGAGCUAAUACCGGAUAAUAUAUUGAACCGCAUGGUUCAAUAGUGAAAGACGGUUUUGCUGUCACUUAUAGAUGGAUCCGCGCCGCAUUAGCUAGUUGGUAAGGUAACGGCUUACCAAGGCAACGAUGCGUAGCCGACCUGAGAGGGUGAUCGGCCACACUGGAACUGAGACACGGUCCAGACUCCUACGGGAGGCAGCAGUAGGGAAUCUUCCGCAAUGGGCGAAAGCCUGACGGAGCAACGCCGCGUGAGUGAUGAUGGUCUUCUGAUCGUAAAACUCUGUUAUUAGGGAAGAACAAAUGUGUAAGUAACUAUGCACGUCUUGACGGUACCUAAUCAGAAAGCCACGGCUAACUACGUG